GGGGCCUACCAUGCAAGUCGAGCGGAUGACGGGAGCUUGCUCCUUGAUUCAGCGGCGGACGGGUGAGUAAUGCCUAGGAAUCUGCCUGGUAGUGGGGGACAACGUUUCGAAAGGAACGCUAAUACCGCAUACGUCCUACGGGAGAAAGCAGGGGACCUUCGGGCCUUGCGCUAUCAGAUGAGCCUAGGUCGGAUUAGCUAGUUGGUGGGGUAAUGGCUCACCAAGGCGACGAUCCGUAACUGGUCUGAGAGGAUGAUCAGUCACACUGGAACUGAGACACGGUCCAGACUCCUACGGGAGGCAGCAGUGGGGAAUAUUGGACAAUGGGCGAAAGCCUGAUCCAGCCAUGCCGCGUGUGUGAAGAAGGUCUUCGGAUUGUAAAGCACUUUAAGUUGGGAGGAAGGGCAGUAAGCUAAUACCUUGCUGUUUUGACGUUACCGACAGAAUAAGCACCGGCUAACUCUGUGCCAGCAGCCGCGGUAAUACAGAGGGUGCAAGCGUUAAUCGGAAUUACUGGGCGUAAAGCGCGCGUAGGUGGUUUGUUAAGUUGGAUGUGAAAGCCCCGGGCUCAACCUGGGAACUGCAUCCAAAACUGGCAAGCUAGAGUACGGUAGAGGGUGGUGGAAUUUCCUGUGUAGCGGUGAAAUGCGUAGAUAUAGGAAGGAACACCAGUGGCGAAGGCGACCACCUGGACUGAUACUGACACUGAGGUGCGAAAGCGUGGGGAGCAAACAGGAUUAGAUACCCUGGUAGUCCACGCCGUAAACGAUGUCAACUAGCCGUUGGAAUCCUUGAGAUUUUAGUGGCGCAGCUAACGCAUUAAGUUGACCGCCUGGGGGAGUACGGCCGCAAGGUUAAAACUCAAAUGAAUUGACGGGGGCCCGCACAAGCGGUGGGAGCAUGUGGUUUUAAUUCGAAGCAACGCGAAGAACCCUUUACCACGGCCCUUGACAUGCAGAGAAACUUUUUCCAGAGAUGGGAUUGGUUGCCUUCUGGUAACUCUGACACAGGUGCCUGGCAAUGGCUGUCGUCCAGCUCGUGUUCGUGAGAUGAUGGGGUUAAGUUCCCGUACGAGCGCAGUCCAUUGAUUCCUUUAGUUAACUCAGC
RNAcentral lists this ribosomal RNA (1107 nucleotides) under Pseudomonas sp. EP_S_49 Ps 3. Its description in RNAcentral is "bacterial SSU rRNA". It matches the Rfam family "Bacterial small subunit ribosomal RNA", at positions 44 to 1127 of the family's 1533-position model. The record is from RNAcentral. Lineage: Bacteria; Pseudomonadati; Pseudomonadota; Gammaproteobacteria; Pseudomonadales; Pseudomonadaceae.